Long non-coding RNA from Quercus lobata, 524 nucleotides. RefSeq lists it as uncharacterized. The record is from RefSeq and is a predicted model, not a curated record. NCBI's taxonomy places the organism in Eukaryota, Viridiplantae, Streptophyta, Magnoliopsida, Fagales, Fagaceae. The transcript has 3 exons.
AGGGGGGUAGUCCUGUAAAAUUUCAUCACAAUUGGAGGUGUGUAGACAGCCCGUUUGUAUUUUACAAAUGGAGCAUACGUGGCUGUAAAGAGCAGUGAACAAUAUAUGCUACACCUAACUUUGUGGAUUUAAUUCUCAAGUUAGGUUGUAUGUUUUGAGCUAUAAUUUUAUACACUCAUCCUUUGGUGGCGAGAACGAGAACACGGAUACUUGAGCUCCUCGCGUACAAUCUCUCGCGCCUUUUGUUUUCAGUGCACAGGUUCUUCCUGGAAGCAGCGAGAGUAUUAGAGGUGGCAAGGAUUCUGUGUUUUCUCGUUUUGUUAGAAUGUAGAGUUUUGUUUUAUAGCAGUUAGCUCUUUUGUUGUAUAGAAGGAAUCAAGAUGUACUUGAUCCUUUGAGCACAGAUGUAAUUCGGUACUGUAGUUUGUUUUGAACCCCAGUUGUAUGUCUUUGGGGUUAGGUUUGUAAUAAGAGUUUUGCUAAACGUUUAGCUAUGUAAAUUUUGACUUGAAUACCUUAAGUUU